UACUCUUUUUCUUGAUAUAUUGACUAUUGAUUUCUUACUCAGACUAUGAUUUGUGUUAUAUGAUCAUGUUUGAGUAGCUUUCUUGUUAGGGUUAGGGUUUCUCAUCAGGGAUUUAGAUGAUUUAGUAGGUUGCUCCCUAGCUCGGUGAUCUGUAGGAUUCUUCAUCUUGAUUGUUCUUAAUGCUAAUUCUAGAUUGAUCACCUAGAACUUUAUUUUAGAUAAUAGGUAUACCCACCAUAGGUACUUGUUACCAAAACUAUCAUAGAUAAGCCUUAGUAUUUAAGAAAAAACAGGUAGGCUCAUAGAAGGGCUCGGGUUUAUAUACUUAGGUGAACUAAUGAUAAUAAUGUAUGUUUAAGUAUAAGAUUUCACAGCUUCAACGGGAAUCUUAGCUCUAGGCAUAGUGAAUUUCACGGAACACCACCGAUUAUUUGAUAAGUAGGUUCUUAGGCCUACUUAUUUUGCUGAAUGUGAGGUUCAGUUCAAUUCCCCUUAAACACUAACAUGUCGAUGCAGCUAUAGGGGGUGUCAAUCCAGUCCACUGUUAUUGCUAGCAAUCAAGAUGUGUACAGAAACAACUAAGUUAAGCCAGAUUAUAAUGAUGGUGGGUUUCUAGUAACAAUCCUAGGUCAGGAUUCAAACAGGUAAAAAUGAGAACUUAAGAACCUUACUCGAUCAUUAGGUCGAGUAGAACCAACAUGCAGAACUAAAAUGCAAUCAACAUGGGAUACAAAUAACAUGUAAAUAAAGUAUAAUCAGGGGGUGAAUACAAAUAAAUCUAAGAAGAAUAGAAGUCCUAAGGAUUGAUUCAUUGAUAAGGACAACUCUAGGGUUCAUCAGGUGGCUAACAAGUGAAAGACAUAUACCUUAGACGAUAGAUUCAAAAACCAGGUCAAUCCACUCUCGUGACAGAGACCCCCAUAACUCUACCACUUCCUAAUCUCAACUCUCGUUGAUGAAACAUAGCAGAGCAGGGUUUAAGCAACAAUCUACCAAAGCCAAUAAGCGGACUAGCCAAUGUCUUGGUCAAGUCUACAAAUCUCUGGAAUUCGUAGAUAACACAUCCAUUUGAACGUCUUUUGGACGCUGGACGUCUAUGAUCAAAUCUCCACAUUAGCCAGCGAAAACCGCAUAGGGGUCAAGCGAAUCCAGAAGGGAUCUAACCUAAUCUUAACCACCUGACUAACCUAGAGAUUACCCUAAUCUAAUUCAUUCUUAAGAACCCUAAUCACUACUCAAGCAACAUAACUAAGAACACAAACCCAUAAAUUACUGAAAUCAUAUCAAAAUGUAGAUCUAAACAAGCUAAACAACUUUACUAAAAUAACUAAGUGCAAAAACAAAAUAGAUUA
RNAcentral lists this small RNA (1352 nucleotides) under Arabidopsis thaliana (thale cress). RNAcentral's name for it is "ATSL208970". The record is from RNAcentral. Lineage: Eukaryota; Viridiplantae; Streptophyta; Magnoliopsida; Brassicales; Brassicaceae.